CUGGUAUCUAUGAUGAGUUUAUUAGCUAAGCCUUUCACUUACAGGUUAGUUGUUUAUCAUUCUGUCACAUUGACAAAUUGAGUCAACAACAUAAACUUACCCAAACUGACAUAAUUGGUAAGCACACCAAUACUUUGGAUCUAACAGCUACAACUGUGUAAACAAUUUAAACAAUUCAAACCUCAUGCAUAAAUUUCCUUGGCAAAAGCAUGCGUCUCAAGGCUGCCUAGAAAUAUUUUACAUCAGGUUUCAUAUAAUACAUAUGUGUUCAAAUUUGAAUAAAAAAUAGAAUAUAUCCUAACAGGAGCUCUUAAGCAUACGUCCUGGGCUAUUACGGGGUUAUUAUACAGUUCAACUCUCAGUGCUAUCCUUUUGGGAUGUAUUAAGACCCAGCUUCUGUUGUAAUUUCUUACUAUGCCAGUUGGAAUUUAAUAGUGCUAUUUAAUUUGAGAUGUUUAAAUACGCAAAAUUAGACCAGUUUAAAUAGUAUAGCGCUAUUCAUGUAGGAUGCAUGUCUAUGCAGUCUCUAUUGGAACAGCUUGACUUUCGCCCCUGUGAAAUUGUAGAAUCGUACUGGUUCAUAUCGCAUGUAACUAUCAUUUUUAAAUGCACAUCUGAAAACAUAUCUAUACAGUCUCUGUUGUAAAUUCUUAUGAUAAAAGCAGUUGUCAGUUUUCUGUUGUUAUAAGAUUGUUUAUUAUGUCCAGUAUCAUAAACACAGAGUGUUUUGUUGCAUCGUAUCACGGUGCGGAGCUAUACGUUUCAGUCGACAUACACGCCAUCUUGAAAUAAUUACUAAUAACAUAUAGAUUUUGCAUGGUUGCUUGAUGAGGCAGACAUACAGCAACAGCUUUUGCCUGAAGGAGGAUCGCGGGUGUAAAAAUUUCAGCAAAAAAUUAAAUAUGUGUUUUACAUUGCAAAUUUUAUUUAUUACACUAUUA
Molecule: long non-coding RNA, 941 nt
Filed under: Mytilus galloprovincialis (Mediterranean mussel)
Lineage: Eukaryota; Metazoa; Mollusca; Bivalvia; Mytilida; Mytilidae
Source: RNAcentral